This 5396-nucleotide long non-coding RNA is filed under the name Triticum aestivum (bread wheat). RNAcentral's name for it is "long non-coding RNA (TAES_LNC025264)". Lineage: Eukaryota; Viridiplantae; Streptophyta; Magnoliopsida; Poales; Poaceae. The record is from RNAcentral.
AUAAACCUAAAGUAUCUAAGAUCGUUUCGGAAAAUCGACGACAAAGUAAAUGAAAAUAAGCAAAGGGAGAUUCAGAUUAUAUUCUCUGUCUUUUUGGUAUAUUCAUAAAACUUGAGAAACUAAAAUACUAACACAAGCUGACAUCAAUGACAACAGAAGUAAAAGGACAUGAAUGUAACAUGACAAGGACACAUAUAUAACUAUCAAACAUGAACAGAGGGAAGAAACAAGGUUGUUGGACAGAAUAUAUGUAUCAUAUCAAAGACACACACAUAUGUAUAUAAAUCACCCACAUUUAUCUCACAAGAACUUGAACUAAUACGUGGACUACAAAACUGAAUAUAUUUCUACAGAAAAGGGAACACACUGUGACAACACAUACAUGAACUGGAAUUAAAAUACAAAGGGUGAACACGCAUAAGUUCUAACAGAACACUAAUUACCAAGCCAAAAUGUUAGACAUCGCUUUGUUUCGAAAGAAAAGAAAUCCACUAUUCAGAACAUAGAAUUCAUGACAUGAUAUUUAACAAGUACAAACUGAACAAACUAAUUGGUUGCAAACGCUUAUCAAAAUCUGAACCUUACAAGACCUACACCACUCCUAUUACAGAAAAUUCAGAGUACGGUAGCAAGAGAACGGAGAGAUUCAAAGAUUAAUUCCUAGUCAAUCUUCAGGCUUGCAGCUGUAGAUGGUGUAGGUGAUGGAGAAGAUCAACAGGGGGCGAGUUGGAGAAGGAGAGGUACAGCAGUAGAGGGCAGAGCAGCAGCGAGGUAGGGAGAAGAAAGAGCAGCAGGCUGGGGUUCAGAGAAGAUUAGGAGCAUCAACUAGAGGCAAAGGAAGAAGAGAGGAGCGACAGGAGAAGAAGGAAACAACAACAUGAUGAGGGGAGGAGUAGCAGCGUGAGAGAUCAGCAACAGGGCGCGGUAGAAGAAGAGCAGCAACAAAGGGAUUGAAGGAGGAGGAGAGAGGUGGAGGAGCAGCGAGGGGAAGAAGAAGGGCAGCAGCGAGGCAGGGGAGGAAGAAGGCAGCGGCAGAAGGCAAGGUCGCGCGGGGCACCAGACCCCUAGUCUGGUAGGGCGCGCGAGCGAUGGUGGUGAAGAGGUGGCGCUGAUGGAUGGUGCAGCGGCGCGAGGUGGUGAUGGAUUGGAUGGAUGGUGGUAUAUGGAGUUGCUGGUGGACGAAGGGCGCGGUGGAGCGGUGGCGCGCCCCACGCUGGCCUGGCUGUGGCGGCGGCUGAAGGUGGAGAAGGAGACAAGAGGGGAGAUGUGCCAGGCCCCAUUGGAUCCCUCCAGCGCCUAGGGAUUUUGUUCCCCUCCCCUCAUCUGAACUUUGUGAUUUGGCCAUCUUACUUCUCUUCUUUCUUCACAAGAAGAUCCUCCUACUUCUUUAGCUUGCCCCUGGUAACUUCUUUUCUUCUCGCACAAGUCCAUUCUUCCUCCUCCUCUUCAUUCUCUUAGCCACUAGUCCGGAUCUUGAAGUUUAUAGUGCCUUUGCGCACUUUUCUGCAAAAGAAACACAAUGACUAGUAAAUGAUUCAUUAUAUGAUUUUCAUGCAAAUAUUCAACUAAACUUAGGAAGAAUAGAUGGGCAUAACCCAAUGAAUGGUAUAAUUGUAUGCCAAAAUUAUAUAUAUGAAAUGUGCAUAUCAAGUUCCCCCAAACAUAGAUCUUUACUUGUCUUCAAGUAAAGGCAAAUGACAAGAGCUAGAUGGUGAACAGUGAGCUGACUAGAGAAUGUCCCAGUAAAGUAGAUCUCCAAACAUCGCAUGCUUUGGACUUAGCUAGUGAAAAUCAAUGGUUAAGAGUGCUACAAAGCAAUAGGAUACUAGUAGACUCGAUCAUUUUCAACUUUUACAAUGAUGCAAGAAGAUUAGCAAGUUCAAAUGCUGAUUAUGCCAAAGGUUCCUAAAGAGAGCAUGAUCUUGAGAACAAAAGGAACUUGAAUUAAAUCUUGUGAUCAAAUCACUUAUUUACUGAAAUAAAGCAAUGAUUAUUAUUAUUAGUCUCACCAUAGGAACAUACCACCGAUCCCGAGAACAUGGUAUACACCUGGCUCGAUCAAUUAUUGGUAUUUUUUAGUUUGUCUCCCCAAAGGAACAUACCACCGAUCCCGAGAACAUGGUAUACACCUGGUUCGACAAUUACAUUUUUUAAUAUAAUUAACUCCUAUCCGAUCCAACCAGAUUUCACAAGCCACCGAUCCAGGGAACAUGUCAUGCUACUGUUAGGUAGAUCAGAUAAUUAUACACUAUAAGAUAUUCCUAUUUUAAUGAACAAACACAAGAAUCAUCACUCAACCAGGUCUGGUUCACAUGCUACCAAUCCAAAGAACAUAGCAUGCUAAUCCAUAGUGGUAAGUGAUUGCUCUGAAUGGGAACACAUUAGGCACAAACUCAGCAUCUGACACUUAAUGAUCUAGGUGUAUCGAGGUAAAAGCAGAAAAUGAUUAAGUUUUCUAGUGUACUAGGGAUUUGAGCACUCAAAACUAAUAGUUCUCACUAAUUUCAGCAAAGCACGCAAUAUGUAGAUCACUAGUUUACAUGGCAUUCAACAAUCGGUUCGCAUAUUCUCAUCAAGCACCAUAUGUCAAAUAAAAUUCAGUGGGGCAACAUUUAAGAAAUGGCUUAAUAAGCAACCCAAAUAACAUUUGAUUUCAGCAUGUAUCAAUGGAUGAUAUACUCAGAAUGGGUCAUGAAACAACUCACCGGGCUUUGAUGAUGUAGCACUCGGUUGAUCACUCUCUAAGCUGCAGCUCUUCUCCUUUUGCUUCCUCAUGGAUGCUCCAGCUUCACUCUUCUUCGUGUGUGCCCCCUUGCUUCUCCUCAUCCCCAUGCUCUGAGUCCACCAGGGUCCCAAGGAAUGUCACCUCGAACCUGGUCAACAUGUAUUGAUUCGUGCACAAGCAAAAACCUGAAAAGGCACUCAACCAAAGAGACAAUGCAAGUGGUAGGGAUAAUACCCUCCAAGUCAUCAAUCGAAUAUCCAAUUACAUAAGCAUAGCUAUAAAGCACAUGUUUAGGAUGGUAGAAAUCAGCAAGGUAGACACUAACAUGAGGAUGAAAUUUAUCAUUAAGCUCAAGACUAGUAUGGGAAUAAUAUGUUUCAUUAAGCAUAGGACUAGCAUAAGGAAAAUAAGUGUCAUCAUCGGGAAUGAGAGCAAUGCCACCAAAAGUGUAUGUAUGAUCAUGUCCAAGCAAAUAAUUUUUCAAAUCUAGCUUAAUUGAUGGUAUAACGCAAUGCAAAGUAACAACAAAGAUCUCAUAAGGAAGCAUGUCAUCAAGAGGAUUGGAUAAACCUGCUAAAUCACGCUCCUGUAUGAUGAUGGGCAAAUGCAUUUCCGGUUCUUCAUCUUCAAUCACAUCAACUUCUUUUGCUUCUUCAAGAGUAAUAGAUGAUGAGUCUUCAACUUGAUCACUUUGUUGUUCGAGCUCUGGAUCAUCUUGUUCCUUGUCUUCAAGUAUUUCUUCUUCAAUCUGAGGUCUUUCUUCCUCUGGACUCUUACUAUCUUGCUCAGCUGGAUGUGACGGUAUUGGAACCUCACAUGUAUCAAGGGGAAUCUCGGCAACACUCGGCUCAAGGAGGGAGGAGAUAGUACUGCCAGCGUUGAUGUUCUUCUCAAUCUUCCUUACUUCUUCCACUGGCUCUUUUCCACUCUUGAUCUUCUUCAUUUCCUCUAGUAUCACCGGCCUCAUUGGAUCAUCUUCAGCACUCCAAGUGAACUCAAGACUAAGCAAUGUGAGCUUGUCUAUAUCAUCAAAAUCAUCUUGUGUGGGCACUUGUGUUGAAGGUGUUGGUUGACCAAAUGGAGGACCAUUUAACUCCAUUGGCUAUAUCUCCUGGUGUUGAGGUAUAUGAGUAGGAGGUGAAUAGCAUUGUUGUGGUGCAUAGUUGUUGCUCUCGUCAUUGUACCUAAAUCCCUGCAUUGGAUAACUAGAGGCAAACGAUGAGAUCUCAGGGUUGUUGCUCCUAUAUGACAUAUUCGGGUUUUUAGGCCACCCAUGUGACUAAUUGCUUGCUUUGGUAUGAGCUAUGCUCUUGAGUGAAGCUCAUGCCAAAACAAUCUGGAGGGUGAGAGUAACCAUGCUGACAUUCAGCGGGCGAAUGGCCCUGAAAUCCACAAAUAUGGCAGGUAGGAGCAACAUAAGGAUAGCCUCUAGAAUAAGGAUCAUAAGAGCUAGGCCUAUCCUCAAAAACUAUUUCUCGCUGCUGAGCUAAAUCAUCUAAUCGAUGGGAAAUCUUACUUAUCAAGUCUUGAAUACUUUCCGUGCUGUUUGUAGUGUUGCUCGCAAAAGCAUGAUGAUCUGAAUAGUAAGCCAUAUCUGAGAAGAUGCAAUAACCUGCAGAAUGACCAAGCAAAGAAAGAGAAAAUAACUUGAACAAGGGUUAGGGGUUAGAGAUAUAUCACAUAUAUAUAGCACAAAGGGAAAAACAAGAAAAACCUAGUCUAUAGCCUAACACGGUCGCACGACUCUAGUCCCCGGCAAAGGCACCAAAAUGAUCAGGUGUAAUAUAGCAGGGUUUUUGCGCCCAAACUACGGAUGUGUCGUGUUCUCCACAGGGACUAGGCGACAGUGACUAUGCUCGGCUAAAGCUAGGCUAGACAAUUUAAGUGACGAAUACAGGGAAAAUAAACCUAAAGUAUCUAAGAUCGUCGGAAAAUCGACGACAAAGUAAAUGAAAAUAAGCAAAGGGAGAUUUAGAUUAUAUUCUCUGUCUUUUUGGUAUAUUCAUAAAACUUGAGAAACUAAAAUACUAACACAAGCUGACAUCAAUGACAACAGAAGUAAAAGGACAUGAAUGUAACAUGACAAGGACACAUAUAUAACUAUCAAACAUGAACAGAGGGAAGAAACAAGGUUGUAGGACAGAAUAUAUGUAUCAUAUCAAAGACACACACAUAUGUAUAUAAAUCACACACAUUUAUCUCACAAGAACUUGAACUAAUACGUGGACUACAAAACUGAAUAUAUUUCUACAGAAAAGGGAACGCACUGUGACAACACAUACAUGAACUGGAAUUAAAAUACAAAGGGUGAACACGCAUAAGUUCUAACAGAACACUAAUUACCAAGACAAAAUGUUAGACAUCACUUUGUUUCGAAAGAAAAGAAAUCCACUAUUCAGAACAUAGAAUUCAUGACAUGAUAUUUAACAAGUACGAACUGAACAAAAUAAUUGGUUGCAAACACUUAUCAAAAUCUGAACCUUACAAGUCCUACACCACUCCUAUUACAGAAAAUUCAGAGUACAGUAGCAAGAGAAGGGAGAGAUUCAAAGAUUAAUUCCUAGUAAAUCUUCAGGCUUGCAGCUGUAGAUGGUGUAGGUGAUGGAGAAGAUCAGCAGGGGGCGAGUUGGAGAAGGAGAGGUACAGCAGCAGAGGGCAGAGCAGCAGUGAG